AUUGAACGCUGGCGGCAGGCUUAACACAUGCAAGUCGAGCGGAGUGAUGGUGCUUGCACUAUCACUUAGCGGCGGACGGGUGAGUAAUGCUUAGGAAUCUGCCUAUUAGUGGGGGACAACAUCUCGAAAGGGAUGCUAAUACCGCAUACGUCCUACGGGAGAAAGCAGGGGAUCACUUGUGACCUUGCGCUAAUAGAUGAGCCUAAGUCGGAUUAGCUAGUUGGUGGGGUAAAGGCCUACCAAGGCGACGAUCUGUAGCGGGUCUGAGAGGAUGAUCCGCCACACUGGGACUGAGACACGGCCCAGACUCCUACGGGAGGCAGCAGUGGGGAAUAUUGGACAAUGGGGGGAACCCUGAUCCAGCCAUGCCGCGUGUGUGAAGAAGGUUUUCGGAUCGUAAAGUUCUGUCAAUUGGGAAGAAGGCCUACUAGUUAAUAGCUAGUGGGAUGACGGUACCUAAGAAGGAAGCUCCGGCUAACUAUGUGCCAGCAGCCGCGGUAA
This 501-nucleotide ribosomal RNA is filed under the name uncultured bacterium. RNAcentral describes it as "partial 16S ribosomal RNA". It matches the Rfam family "Bacterial small subunit ribosomal RNA", at positions 30 to 523 of the family's 1533-position model. The record is from RNAcentral.